This 1041-nucleotide ribosomal RNA is filed under the name Triticum aestivum (bread wheat). RNAcentral describes it as "partial small subunit ribosomal RNA". Lineage: Eukaryota; Viridiplantae; Streptophyta; Magnoliopsida; Poales; Poaceae. The record is from RNAcentral.
GGUAAAGUGAGCUCUCAGGAAGAUGAAGAGUUAGUCUGGGGGAUAGGGAGGAGUUCAGAGCUCAAGCUUUUUAACUUUUCACAACUAUCAGAUGCUACGAGUAACUUCUCAGAUGAAAAUAAAUUGGGGCAAGGUGGCUUUGGCCCAGUAUACAAGGGCCAGCUUCCUGGAGGUUUGGAAAUAGCAAUUAAGAGACUAGCUUCGCAGUCUGGGCAGGGUUUCACAGAGUUUAAAAAUGAAGUCCAACUCAUAGCCAAGCUCCAGCACACAAAUUUGGUUAGGCUAUUGGGAUGUUGCUCUCAAGGAGAAGAGAAAAUAUUAAUCUAUGAAUAUUUGGCAAAUAAAAGCUUGGAUUUCUUUAUCUUUGAUGAAACUAAAAAGGCUUUAUUGGAAUGGAACAAAAGAAAAGCGAUUAUCGAAGGGAUAGCACAAGGACUUCUAUAUUUGCAUAAGCACUCUCGGUUACGGGUCAUACAUAGAGAUCUUAAAGCAAGCAACAUUCUUUUGGACGGUGAAAUGAAUCCUAAAAUAUCAGAUUUUGGGCUUGCAAAAAUAUUCAGCUCAAAUGAUACCGAAGGGAACACAAAAAGGAUUGCUGGGACAUAUGGGUACAUGGCUCCCGAGUAUGCUUCGGAGGGUCUCUUCUCGAUCAAAUCUGAUGUAUUCAGCUUUGGUGUGCUAAUUCUUGAGAUCAUCCAUGGAAAAAGGAACUCAUGUUUUCAUCAAUUUGGGGACUUCUUCAACCUUCUUGGAUAUGCAUGGAAGUUGUGGAAAGAGGAAAGAUGGCUUGAGUUCGUCGAUGAAUCAAUAGUUUCAGAGUCUGACGUGUUAGAGACAAUGAGGUGCAUCAACAUCGCACUGCUCUGUGUGCAAGAGAAUGCAGCUGAUAGACCCACAACAGCAAGUGUGGUUGCGAUGCUAAGCAGUGAAAGCAUGACCCUGCCUGAACCUAAGCAUCCGGCGUAUUUCCACAUAAGGGUAACGGAGGAAGAGCCACCUAGUGCUAAUGAUAUGACAAUGUCUGCUCUACAGGGCAGAUAG